GGGGAUGUGGCUCAGUGGUAGAGCAUUUGCCUAGUAUGCACAAGGCCUCAGGUUCAAUCCCCAACACUA
Molecule: transfer RNA, 69 nt
Filed under: Ictidomys tridecemlineatus (thirteen-lined ground squirrel)
Lineage: Eukaryota; Metazoa; Chordata; Mammalia; Rodentia; Sciuridae
Description: Spermophilus tridecemlineatus (thirteen-lined ground squirrel) tRNA
Rfam family: tRNA
About the family: Transfer RNA (tRNA) molecules are approximately 80 nucleotides in length.
Source: Rfam by way of RNAcentral